GCUCGAUCCCAAGACCACAGCCCAAGCCAAACCGAGAGUUGGGUGCCCAACCAAGGUUGCAAAAAGUGUUCAGCCUGUUUCAAAGAGAUCAUUCUAGGUGGAACACCAACAGGAUCCACACCUAGCAUGGAGCCCAAUGCGGG
Long non-coding RNA from Leptonychotes weddellii (Weddell seal), 143 nucleotides. RefSeq lists it as uncharacterized. The record is from RefSeq and is a predicted model, not a curated record. Lineage: Eukaryota; Metazoa; Chordata; Mammalia; Carnivora; Phocidae.